Molecule: transfer RNA, 73 nt
Filed under: Candidatus Woesearchaeota archaeon
Lineage: Archaea; Nanobdellati; Candidatus Woesearchaeota
Description: tRNA-Thr
Rfam family: tRNA
About the family: Transfer RNA (tRNA) molecules are approximately 80 nucleotides in length. Their secondary structure includes four short double-helical elements and three loops (D, anti-codon, and T loops). Further hydrogen bonds mediate the characteristic L-shaped molecular structure. tRNAs have two regions of fundamental functional importance: the anti-codon, which is responsible for specific mRNA codon recognition, and the 3' end, to which the tRNAs corresponding amino acid is attached (by aminoacyl-tRNA synthetases). tRNAs cope with the degeneracy of the genetic code in two manners: having more than one tRNA (with a specific anti-codon) for a particular amino acid; and 'wobble' base-pairing, i.e. permitting non-standard base-pairing at the 3rd anti-codon position.
Source: RNAcentral
GCCUCCGUAGCUCAGCUAGCAGAGUGCGAGACUUGUAAUCUCGAGGUCAUGGGUGCAAUUCCCAUCGGAGGCU